Molecule: non-coding RNA, 54 nt
Organism: Salmo salar (Atlantic salmon)
Lineage: Eukaryota; Metazoa; Chordata; Actinopteri; Salmoniformes; Salmonidae
Source: Rfam
UACAUGCAUGACUGUAAGUCGCUUUGGAUAAAAGCGGCUGCAAAAGGGCUUUUA